UACGAAGGGUGCAAACGUUGCUCGGAAUUAUUGGGCGUAAAGCGCACGUAGGCGGCUUAGCAAGUCGGAUGUGAAAGCCCUCGGCUCAACCAAGGAAGUGCAUCCGAAACUGCUGAGCUUGAGUACUUAAGAGAAUCGCGGAAUUCCCGGUGUAGAGGUGAAAUUCGUAGAUAUCGGGAGGAACACCAGUGGCGAAGGCGGCGAUCUGGGAAGAUACUGACGCUGAGGUGCGAAAGCGUGGGGAGCAAACAGG
Molecule: ribosomal RNA, 253 nt
Filed under: uncultured bacterium
Lineage: Bacteria
Description: partial 16S ribosomal RNA
Rfam family: Bacterial small subunit ribosomal RNA
Source: RNAcentral